This 492-nucleotide ribosomal RNA is filed under the name uncultured bacterium. RNAcentral describes it as "partial 16S ribosomal RNA". It matches the Rfam family "Bacterial small subunit ribosomal RNA", at positions 29 to 507 of the family's 1533-position model. The record is from RNAcentral.
AGUGAACGCUGGCGGUAGGCCUAACACAUGCAAGUCGAACGGCAGCACAGUAAGAGCUUGCUCUUACGGGUGGCGAGUGGCGGACGGGUGAGGAAUACAUCGGAAUCUACUUUUUCGUGGGGGAUAACGUAGGGAAACUUACGCUAAUACCGCAUACGACCUACGGGUGAAAGCAGGGGAUCUUCGGACCUUGUGCGAUUGAAUGAGCCGAUGUCGGAUUAGCUAGUUGGCGGGGUAAAGGCCCACCAAGGCGACGAUCCGUAGCUGGUCUGAGAGGAAGAUCAGACACACUGUAAGUGAGACACGGUCCACACUCCUACGGGAGGCAGCAGUGGGGAAUAUUGGACAAUGGGCGCAAGCCUGAUCCAGCCAUACCGCGUGGGUGAAGAAGGCCUUCGGGUUGUAGAGCCCUUUUGUUGGGAAAGAAAAGCAGCAGGUUAAUACCCCGCUGUUCUGACGGUACCCAAAGAAUAAGCACCGGCUAACUUCGUG